GUGCGUUGGUCUCCCCGGGCAACUGCUUGCCCUGCGCCACCGAGCCUCCCGGAUUUAAAGCGGCAGGAGCUGGUUAGCCGGAUAGAAUGUAAUCCACCCGCCUUGGCCUCCCAAAGUGCUGGGAUUACAGGUGUGAGCCACCAUGCCCAGCCAGAAACUGCCACUUUUAAACCAUCAGAUCUCAUUGAGAACUCCCUCACUAUCACGAGAACCGCAUGAGGGAAACCACCCCCAUGAUCUGAUCACCUCCCACCAGGUCCUGCCCUCAACAUGUGGGGAUUACAAUUCAAGAUGAGAUUUGGGUCAGGAAACAGAGCCAAACCAUAUCAAGAGCCUCUGGUAACCACUGUUCUACUCAAUACUUCUAUGAGGUGAACUUCUUUGGAUUCCACAUAUGAUCAAGAUCAUGAGGAAGGAGGAGCAAGUCUUCUUUGUCAUGCUAUUAAGAAAAUACCCAGAGUCACAGCACCAUGAUCUCCUUGUGAAGCAGAACAAGUAAUAUAAAACUGAUCUAAAGAGGCCUCCCCUCUACUCUUAUCUGUCUGGUCGAGUCAUUUGGGUCCAAGUGGGCACCAUUGUGGGAGGGUGGGAGGACUCAUCACUGGGGGCCCAGGCAUCAUUGGCAUGUGGCCUCCUGUGUUAGUUUGUUCUCAUGCUGCAAAUAAAGACAACUUGAGACUGGAUAAUUU
This 689-nucleotide long non-coding RNA is filed under the name Homo sapiens (human). Its description in RNAcentral is "ERICH6 antisense RNA 1 (ERICH6-AS1)". Lineage: Eukaryota; Metazoa; Chordata; Mammalia; Primates; Hominidae. The record is from RNAcentral.